GUUUCACAGGCUGUUGAGGCUGCCUCUGACCAAGAAGAGUUGCUCAGUGACGUUGUCUAGGCUUUCUGUGAUAAAGAAGAGGUGCUCCGUAAGGUUGUCUAGGAAGUGAAUGGCAACCAUUGCCCAGAAGUUGAGCAAACAGGUGCAUUGCAGUACCUUCACACCCAGACCAAGGAGGUUUACAAGCAACCUAACAAUGCUACUCAGAAUGACUGGGAGUCUAGCACAGGCCCCAGCCCCAGCUCAACCCAGCCCCAGAAACAGAGGCAAGGGCAAGAACAGGAAAGCUCCUAAUUUUAACAGUGACAACACCAAAAACGAUAAGGACUUUGUUCCAGAAAAUAAAGACUGAGGAGGAGGAAAGCGAGGAUGAAGAUAUUCAAGAAGACUAAGACUUGGAGCUGAGGCACGCCAAUGAAAGACCUUAGAUUCAACGCAUUUCCUGAGGUCUUCAACGUUGUUUUGGGUCGGCCUCUGGGAUCAGUUCAAAUGCCCUGGGUGGUGCAGACAAAGGAUCCGAUUCGGGAAACUCAUAUGCUUGGUCAAGGUACUGUCAAACCUGAUACCAUGGUAAAGGCUGCCAAUCGACUGACCAACAACAUGAUGGGACCCAUCUGGAUGUGCACCAAAACCACCAAGAAGUUUGAGGCUGAGAAGUACCUGCUGCAGGAAAUGGGGUCUACAGCCUUCACCUUCUUCAGAGAGACAACUCCUCUGCACAAACUGAAGAGGUAGGUCCUGUGUAGCUCAACUUGUAAUAGUGUGCUGCUAGCAACACCAAGGUCUUGGUGUGUCUGAUGUUUACUGUUCACGUUUGAGUGCCUUCCCGCCCACCCUGAGCGCUGGGACAUGCUGUUCUAUAUGGGUGUUCCGGUGUGGGCCAUGGACUUGUGCCCCACCCCCGAUGGCACCCCUGUCAGCCAGUACGCUGCCAUCUACUGCUACAGAAACCUGGACUACCAUUACAGGUUGAACACGCUGAUUUGGGACAACUCCAGUACAACACCAGUCCACUCCAAUGUUGGCCCAGGAUAAAGGCUUUGUGUGGAAUGUGAAGUGGUGCCCAGGAGGAGCCUGGGAGCUGCUCACAACUAACAAGGCCCCUCACAUGCCCAGACUGUGUCUCCUGGCUGCCUCCACGUCAGGUCACAUCACCAUCGACAGCCUGCCUCAACCCAACACACUGCAGGACCGCAGGAAACACACCGCUAAAGGUGGAGCCAGACCAGCACUGAUGAUCUGCCAGGUGCAUGGUGUGAUCACCCUGAAGAGAGGCUCCCUCCAGGCCAACCAUGAUGAAAAGAAUAACCAGGUCCUCUCCACGGACUGGCUGCUGGCUUCUAUGAUGGUACAGUGGCCCUGUGGGACCACUCCUUUGCCCUCUACCCCUACCACUGCUUUGUCGCCCAUGACAACGCCACCUGUGCCCUCAGCUUCUGCCACGCAUCCAGAGGACAUUUAAGAAUGUCCAGAACUAAGCUCCUUUUGAAACACAUGCAGGCUGCAGAGACCACAUGGAGACUAAGCCUGGACCUGAUGCCUUUGGCUUCACUAACCAAGGUCACCAGGCUGCUCGUUAUUGCGCACACCUGUCGACAUCGGUACACUUGCAUCAGCGCAUAAUGACACUCACCUGGACUCCAUCACCUCCUUGAUUACAUGCCCUAGAUAUGCCACUCCCUUUGGUUCCUUCCCCAGGUGUCAAUGCUUCUGUUUCAGUUUCCCGUCUGUACGUUGGUCGUGUUUCUUGUUUUGUAUUAUGUUUCAUUAUUAAAUGAUUCACUACCUGAACUUGCUUCCCGACUUACAAUAAUGUAGGCCUAGUGCUAUAACAGUGAUAGCAACCCAUAGAUUGGUCAUGGAGCCAGUCACUCUAGCUUAGUGUUAGAUCUUGACCAUGUAGGGAAGCAGAGACUGUGGAUUAAGCAAAUAAUCUGAUUGUAAUCGAUUGACUGGGUAAAGAGUUGCACUGGAGCUCAACACUGUCAGGAUGUGUUAGCCCUCUGACUAAACUCUGACAGUCAUGCCUUCCGAGACCAUGCCUUCAGAGACCAUACUUUCAGAGACCACAGCUGGCAAUUUGGUUGCAUUAACGGGAUAGACUCAAUCUCUACUGUCUCUCAAGCACUGUUCUUUAUUGGUACUGUAUAGAGCAGUUAGAUUCAGCUGCGGGACCAUUUUUUUCCUUGAGCGAAUGGUCGUGGGCCAAAACAACAUAAUUGCAAAUAAUUUGUAGACUGCAAAUUGACUGCAAGAAGCCCAAACAUGU
RNA transcript from Oncorhynchus tshawytscha (Chinook salmon), 2269 nucleotides. It is a transcript of the gene named general transcription factor 3C polypeptide 2-like, with no coding region annotated. The transcript is spliced from 12 exons. The record is from RefSeq and is a predicted model, not a curated record. Lineage: Eukaryota; Metazoa; Chordata; Actinopteri; Salmoniformes; Salmonidae.